Molecule: transfer RNA, 64 nt
Filed under: Utra nitida
Lineage: Eukaryota; Metazoa; Arthropoda; Insecta; Coleoptera; Cerambycidae
Description: tRNA-Asn
Source: RNAcentral
UUAAUUGAAACCAAAAAGAGGUGUGUCACUGUUAAUGGCAUCAUUGGAUAUCGUCCCAAUUAAA